AACCACAACCAUACCAUCCUGAACAUCCCUAUUUCAUCUGAUCUUAGGAGCUAAGCAGGGUCAAAUCUGAUUAGUACUUAGAUGGGAGACCUCUUGGGAAUACUGAGUGCCAUAGGCU
Aotus nancymaae (Ma's night monkey) is the source of this 118-nucleotide ribosomal RNA. Lineage: Eukaryota; Metazoa; Chordata; Mammalia; Primates; Aotidae. The record is from Ensembl.